Lates calcarifer (barramundi perch) is the source of this 832-nucleotide long non-coding RNA. RefSeq lists it as uncharacterized. NCBI's taxonomy places the organism in Eukaryota, Metazoa, Chordata, Actinopteri, Centropomidae. The record is from RefSeq and is a predicted model, not a curated record. The transcript has 2 exons.
CAUCUUGUUAUGCUAAACAAUAUUAUCCACUAAAACUUGAACUCUUGAACCAUGAAAUCAUCUCUAUACAAAUAGUGGGAUAGCGGGAUCUGGCUUCAAAUCAUUGGGACUAAACUAAAACCCAUGAAAUUCCUCAUAUUGACCAACUAUUAGCUAGGGCUAACCCAAAUGCCUCCAAGUGUCAAAGUUUCACCUGUUGUCAUGAUAACUGGUGUCCAAUAUAUAUAUUAUUAUAUAUGCAUUAUCACAAUAAUCCAAAUAGCCCAUAACAUUAUUCAUUGUGCGUCAACAUCAGUUAUUAUUAGUUAUUCCAGACAAGAACAUUUAAUCAAAGCAAUAUUUUUGUGUAUCACGUGACACAGUCCUGUUACCAGCACUGACACUGUGACAGUGACACGUGACCACAUGAUAGGCUUACAAGUUACAGCUAUGCUAACAAGUCAAGUGUGUGGAAUAACUUCCAAAUUUGAGAAAAUAAUCCUCAUAAAGUUGAGUGGCAGGUAUGCCAAGGGAAACUGGCAUUUCACAAAUCUACAGAAAACUCUGCUUUUCAGCAAUGAAAUGGCACGACCCACCUCCACCCCUGCACCACCCCAUCUGCGGACACCAAGCACCUCCUUCUACCCCCCGAUUGUUUUCUCCACAAGACCUUCCCAACUUCAGGCUCUAUCCCUCAUCACCACCACCAGGUCUAGGCUCCAGGGGAAGUUCUCUGCCUAUGAGAAGCUACAGCUAGGAUUGUCAGCUGUCUGAGGUGAUCCUCUUCCUGCCGGGGUCUAAUCGCCAAAGCCUGCUUCAUUCUCAAUAAAAUUACUUUUUCAUGUUUCCCUUA